This 103-nucleotide non-coding RNA is filed under the name unclassified sequences. RNAcentral describes it as "SAM-I-IV sequence". It matches the Rfam family "SAM-I/IV (S-adenosyl methionine) riboswitch aptamer". From Rfam's summary of the family: It is found upstream of a number of genes which code for proteins involved in methionine or cysteine biosynthesis. It has been found mostly in the order Actinomycetales. The record is from Rfam by way of RNAcentral.
AACCAGCAUCAAGAGCAGGGUUGACGCCCUCGCCAACCUGCCCUGUCCGGGCAAGGUGGUUCCCGAAAGGGGAUGCGGCCACAAGGCAACAAAGCGGGCCCAU